GGGAAACAAGAUCCCACGUACCUGUGCGUUCAAGAGCAGCAAUCUCCUCAGCCAUCGCAAACUGCCAUUCAGGAUGAACAACAGCCUGAUGAUAAGUAGUUGGCUCAAGAACAGCAGCUCCAGCGGUGGAAAAUCCUAAGCGAUCAACAGGCGGACGAGGACGAGAACGCAAGCCAUAAGUAGGCUGAGACGAGGAUGACAGCACAUCCAGAGAGGCAUCCACAGUACGUGAACGACGAGUGUAACACUGAGGAAAAGAUGGAACAAUGGAAGGAGGAAUCACUAAAGGAGAAUCGAAGAGUGGCGAGUGGAGUCCGAGCUGUAGCGGGACCGCAGCGGGUCGCGUCGGGAGGAGUCGACGGCCUCCAGUCGUGACGUUGCCUGGAACCGCUGGGAUCGGGACGGGCCGGGGCUUCGAGAUCCAGUGGCGGGUGGAGUCCGAGCUGUAG
This 449-nucleotide long non-coding RNA is filed under the name Hordeum vulgare. RNAcentral describes it as "long non-coding RNA (HVUL_LNC016065)". The record is from RNAcentral. Lineage: Eukaryota; Viridiplantae; Streptophyta; Magnoliopsida; Poales; Poaceae.